Molecule: non-coding RNA, 879 nt
Organism: Perca fluviatilis (European perch)
Lineage: Eukaryota; Metazoa; Chordata; Actinopteri; Perciformes; Percidae
Source: the annotation of a RefSeq genome assembly
CUUCUCCCAAAGUACAGCAAAGGUAAAUACAAUGCACAUAACACAGCACACCAUUAAAAACAUAAGGAAUAUACAGAAUACAAUAUACAAUAGUGUAAAUGGGCAGGUAUCAGCAGAUAUGUUCUAUAAAUAAUACAAGAAAGCAAAUCUUAUAAAAUAACAAGUGUUCCCUGAUGGAGUAAUUCUGUGUUCAAUGGCUGUAUGGCAUAGGGAAUGAAAUACUUCUUGUAAAUGUUCCAGCAGGUCCAUGGGACCCUAAAUCUAACAUUUACUAUACUCUGAUAAAGUGAUUGAUCCAUUGAUGAACAGCAUCAUCAGAGUAAUCCAAGUCCCUGUUGGAGUCAGUCAGAGCAUUUCCAUAGAGAGCCACUUUGCAUCAGCAGCACCAUGCUCCAGUGCUCUGGGAGAGUUUAUAGUCCUGAGAGUUGAACACUGGAUGACUGACAGCUGUCCUUCAUGACAACAGAAGACACAGAAAUCCUCCUCAUCAAAAACAUGACUUUGAUCUCCGUCCUCAUCUGGACUCUCCUCUGCUGCUGCUUCACAGAGUCCAGAGGCCAGGUCACAGUGACUCAGCCUGGAGCAGUGAGCUCUGCUCUGGGAGGCUCCGUCUCCAUCAGCUGUAGGACCAGUCAGAAUAUUUAUGUUUGGAGCGACGGCACCAAAGGUCUAUCCUGGUACCAACAGAGAGAUGGAGAAACUCCUAAGCUCCUUUACUAUUCAAGAACUCGACAAUCAGGGAUUCCAGAUCGUUUUACAGGCAGUGGAUCAAACUCUGACUUCACUCUGACCAUCAGUGGAGUCCAGACUGAAGAUGCAGCAGUUUACUACUGUCAGAGGUAUCACUAUAUCAACAGUCAGAAUGUGUUCACACAGUGA